GCAAACAAAUCAAGUUGAAUUAUCAAUGCACCCCCUAUAUAUUGCACCAAAGUUAAUCAACGAACAAGCAAACAAUAUUGAAUUGUAAACAAAUUGGAGAUCAUAUCGAUGGAGAAGAGAAAUUUAUCUUCCUCUUAAUUAUUUCUUCAAAUUAAAGCUUUUUUCGGCAUGUUAAUUUGCAGCCUUUUUAUGUACUCGAUCCUAACAUGAUCCUACAAACCCCCUUAAUUAGGCUUCUCUUCUCAUACCAACAAAUAAUAACAUAAUGGUAAUAAUUAAACAGAAACUAAAAUUAAGAUGAUGAUGAUGACGAUGCUGGAUUAGAAUUUUGGAGGUGAGGGGAUCGAAAGUGCCAAUGGUUGACGAUCUCUACACUUAUCAUGAACUCGGAGCUGAUCUUUUCGCCGUCGCCGUCGCCGCCGCCCCCGCCGCCGCAGUAGUAGUAGUACUAGGACUGGCACUGACACCGGUUGCUGCUGGUGGAGUAGUAGGAGAUGCCGCCGGCGCGGUGUCCUGAUGCUCGCCGGACUGGGUGGCUUCGUCGUCGUGGUCGUCGUCCUCGGCCGCGCCUUCGGACGUCCCGGCGUCCGCGGUGACGACGGGGG
RNAcentral lists this long non-coding RNA (605 nucleotides) under Oryza brachyantha (malo sina). RNAcentral's name for it is "long non-coding RNA (OBRA_LNC001410)". The record is from RNAcentral. Lineage: Eukaryota; Viridiplantae; Streptophyta; Magnoliopsida; Poales; Poaceae.